This 406-nucleotide ribosomal RNA is filed under the name uncultured bacterium. Its description in RNAcentral is "partial 16S ribosomal RNA". It matches the Rfam family "Bacterial small subunit ribosomal RNA", at positions 30 to 526 of the family's 1533-position model. The record is from RNAcentral.
AUUGAACGCUGGCGGCAGGCCUAACACAUGCAAGUCGAGCGAGCGGCGGACGGGUGAGUAAUGUAUGGGAAACUGCCCGAUGGAGGGGGAUAACUACUGGAAACGGUAGCUAAUACCGCAUACCAUCAGAUGUGCCCAGAUGGGAUGAGCUAGUAGGUGGGGUAACGGCUCACCUAGGCGACGAUCCCUAGCUGGUCUGAGAGGAUGACCAGCCACACUGGAACUUAGACACGGUCCAGACUCCUACGGUAGGCAGCAGUGGGGAAUAUUGCACAAUGGGCGCAAGCCUGAUGCAGCCAUGCCGCGUGUGUGAAGAAGGCCUUCGGGUUGUAAAGUACUUUCAGCGGGGAGGCGUUACCCGCAGAAGAAGCACCGGCUAACUCCGUGCCAGCAGCCGCGGUAAUUC